RNAcentral lists this ribosomal RNA (497 nucleotides) under uncultured bacterium. Its description in RNAcentral is "partial 16S ribosomal RNA". It matches the Rfam family "Bacterial small subunit ribosomal RNA", at positions 28 to 507 of the family's 1533-position model. The record is from RNAcentral.
GAUGAACGCUGGCGGCGUGCCUAAUACAUGCAAGUCGAGCGAACAGAUCAGGGGCUUGCUCCUCUGACGUUAUCGGCGGACGGGUGAGUCACACGUGGAUAACCUACCUAUAAGACUGGGAUAACUUCGGGAAACCGGAGCUAAUACCGGAUAAUAUAUUGAACCGCAUGGUUCAAUAGUGAAAGACGGUUUUGCUGUCACUUAUAGAUGGCUCCGCGCCGCAUUAGCUAGUUGGUAAGGUAACGGCUUACCAAGGCAACGAGGCGUAGCCGACCUGAGAGGGUGAUCGCCCACGCUGGAACGGAGACACGGUCCAGAACCCUACGGGAGGCAGCAGUAGGGAAUCUUCCGCGAUGGGCGAAAGCGUGACGGAGCAACGCCGCGUGAGUGAUGAAGGUCUUCGGAUCGUAAAACUAUGUUAGUAGGGAGGAACAAAUGUGUAAGUAACUAUGAACGUCUUGACGGUACCUGAUCAGAAAGCCACGGCUAACUACGUG